CAGUAGCCGCGGUAAUACGUAGGUCCCGAGCGUUGUCCGGAUUUAUUGGGCGUAAAGCGAGCGCAGGCGGUUAGAUAAGUCUGAAGUUAAAGGCUGUGGCUUAACCAUAGUACGCUUUGGAAACUGUUUAACUUGAGUGCAAGAGGGGAGAGUGGAAUUCCAUGUGUAGCGGUGAGAUGCGUAGAUAUAUGGAGGAACACCGGUGGCGAAAGCGGCUCUCUGGCUUGUAACUGACGCUGAGGCUCGAAAGCGUGGGGAGCAAACAGGAUUAGAUACCCCAGUAGUCCCUGUCUCUUAUACC
Molecule: ribosomal RNA, 301 nt
Filed under: uncultured bacterium
Lineage: Bacteria
Description: partial 16S ribosomal RNA
Rfam family: Bacterial small subunit ribosomal RNA
Source: RNAcentral